AUUGAACGCUGGCGGCAUGCUUUACACAUGCAAGUCGAACGGCAGCGGGGGCUUCGGCCUGCCAGCGAGUGGCGAACGGGUGAGUAAUGCAUCGGAACGUGCCCAGUCAUGGGGGAUAACUACGCGAAAGCGUAGCUAAUACCGCAUACGCCCUGAGGGGGGAAAGCGGGGGUUCGCAAGACCUCGCGUGAUUGGAGCGGCCGAUGUCGGAUUAGCUAGUUGGUGGGGUAAAGGCCUACCAAGGCGACGAUCCGUAGCGGGUCUGAGAGGAUGAUCCGCCACACUGGGACUGAGACACGGCCCAGACUCCUACAGGAGGCAGCAGUGGGGAAUUUUGGACAAUGGGGGCAACCCUGAUCCAGCCAUGCCGCGUGAGUGAAGAAGGCCU
RNAcentral lists this ribosomal RNA (388 nucleotides) under uncultured bacterium. Its description in RNAcentral is "bacterial SSU rRNA". It matches the Rfam family "Bacterial small subunit ribosomal RNA", at positions 29 to 417 of the family's 1533-position model. The record is from RNAcentral.